GGGGGGCCUGUACACAGGUCCUGGAGAGCAGGGAGGGCAGAGGGCAGUCAUCUCCCCAACAACGUACACCCCAUCUCCAGGCUUCACUACACUCCCAUGUUCUGUCAGCCUUUGAAAAUGCAAUUUUCUUCACCCAGGAAGGCUGACUAUCUGAUUCCUACCUUCCCCUCAACCCCCACGGUUAUUAUCGCCUCAGGACUAAUGGACUCAGGCAGAAACAUGGCUCGGCAAAGUUUGUUCCUGCUGCCUUAGGGUCUUUAGACAAAGAGCUCCCUGAAGUUUGGUGACUCGGUCCCCAGGCUAGGUUUCGUAAUUCAGAUAUUGAAUGUCCAGGGCCCGAGCCCUGGCCUAGGCGCUCACCUCAUCCAGUUUGAAGGCAAUCAUGGACACGGCGUGGAAAACGGCCCCCGUGGAGCCGGUGAUGGUGGUGAUUCUCUCUGGGCAGGAGCCCUCCGAGAUUGUGAUCCGGGCACAGCUCUGGGGGGCGCAAGGGGGGAAGGAGGACAGGACAAGGGCAGCAAGGGCCAGAGCCCCAAGAGGGCAGGCCCAGCAGCCCAGUCUCCCCAGGAAAACUGCCUCU
This is a long non-coding RNA of Sarcophilus harrisii (Tasmanian devil), 580 nucleotides long. RefSeq lists it as uncharacterized. The transcript has 2 exons. NCBI's taxonomy places the organism in Eukaryota, Metazoa, Chordata, Mammalia, Dasyuromorphia, Dasyuridae. The record is from RefSeq and is a predicted model, not a curated record.